AUCCCAAGGAAGCUAGAAAACCAGUGAGGAAUUCAGAGUAGCCCAGGGAGAAGCUCUGAUUUCCUGCUGAAAAGGGUUACUCUGGCAUCUGGGCGGAAAAAAGGAAGAAAGAGGAGACCAAGCAGGAGGAGGCUGCUAUCAUCCGAUGUGCUGUAAUAGGGAUCUACUGCACCAGUCCGUGGCUUAGGAACUGGGCCACACAGCAGGAGACUCUUCUGUCCAUUUUCACACAGAGAGACUUCUAUACUGUGGGUUAAGGAAGGAAACCAGGCCCUGAGCUUCAGUAGUUCUACCAGUGCUUCUCAAGUGUCAGCUUUUCCUCAUCCUCUAGCCGCCCUCCCAGAGGAUCCUGGGAGGCGAGGCAGGAACGGCCUGCUUGGGGAGCCAGCGAGUUUGCAGGGCCUUUUCUGCUGCUUCCUGUACCCCGGUAUUUCACUCGGCUCUCUAAAUGGACUCAGCUCCAGAUAUAGGCACGCUUCAGAGAUUGCAGAGUUAAUUGCAGACCACUGCAAUAAAGAGGGUGCAACUCUACCAACAUGAACAACCAAGGAAGGAGAAAUGACAUGGGGGCCAAGUCCUGAUGACCACGCAGCAAGCCCGUGAGUGACGUUCCAAGUCACUCCCAGCCCCUCAUGUAAGCAUCAAGGUGGAUACUACAAUGAAAACCAACUGUCACUGCAUCCUACCUCAAGGUCUUAACUUCCAUGUAAUAGGAUCUCUCAAGCCAGAACAACACAAACCCAGACACUGCUGGACCAGUGAGACCAAGAUUCAGGCCGAGUCUAAAAUAUCAACCUCAAGAUUCUCUGGAACCCAAAAGCUGCCUAGAAUUGUGGUGGUAAAUUGACAAAUCUUUCCAUUCUACUAUUCUUCAGAGUUUCAAGGCAACUCUUGGUUGAUACAAUUGUAGCUUCAGCCAAACUAAUCUGAAUUCCAGAAUAUUCCACCUUGGCAUCUAAUGGAAGACAGUGAAAUGAGCAAGGGAGCCUGAGAUGGGGUGAGAGUCAGACAGGACUUUUCUCAACUGUAUCAUGGCAGAUUAGCUGAAUUCCUCUCUAAGUGCCUAGAGGACAUUAUCAUUGAGAAUGCACUUUGUAUUUCCCGAAGGGAAAGUGUCCUCAAACAGAACCAUUCAGAACACAUUCCAAAGGAAAUGAGGAUAUCAUUUUACACGUAUAUUAACCUGACAAGGCCCUACAGAAACUGACAGAACUACCUGAUUAAAUAAAGAGUGUAGGGUUUUUUUGAUAUUUUUCUCAGCCAAAAACGCUAUGGGAAGCCAGACACAGACGUUUGAAAUUAGAAUAUUGCUCCAGUGUGUAAGUUUAUUACCGACUGGUAUGAGUUUUAUAGACAUGAUUGAUAAAAGUGUGACAAUUUUUUUAAAUGAGUUAACUUUUCUUAAAAAGUAACAAAGGAAAAGUUUGAGUCUUUAUGGUCUCUGGUAACCACAAUGACAAAAUGUAAAAUGAAUAUCAUUUAUUAAGAGUCAUGCCCCCUUCCAAACCAUGGAAACAGGACCACUCUUUGAAAUUCUCUAGAAUGGUUUAACAUGACUACUCUUUGGAUGGCUGUUGAAAGGAACAAUUCAUUAUUGCAUGCAUAUAUAAGAAGAUUAAUUAGAGUAACAAGAAAUAAGAACUGCUUGUUCUUUUCGGGAAAGAGUUAUUAUUUCUCCUUUUUGUAAAUAUUACUCUCAAGAUCAAGUUUAUGCUUUUAUGAUAGCAUGUAAUGCUAAUUGGUAGUCUCUGUUUUCCCUGUUUCAUUUAUUUAAAAAAGAAAAUAGCCAUUUGUUAAAAUUAAGUUUGGGUAGUUCUAACAGCUCAUGUGAAAAUUAUAAGCCAUGUUUUUUACAUUGUUUUACUUAAAAAAUCCACUUGUAGCAUAAUAAUUUCAUUGGUUCAUUUGAAAUGCAAAUGUAGCAUUUGUAACACCGGUUGCCUCGCCUGGGGCCAAAUGGACACACCCAUUCCUCUCCUUACCUGAAAACUACGUCAUCAUUCUGAGUGCAUUACUCAGCAUCUGGGCUCCCCACACCCAUUUCCGCAUUCCAAUCUCAGUCCUGCACUCAUCAGCAAACUAGGCACUCGGCCCCACCAAAAUUUUAAAAAUCCCGCCAAGUCCUGCCCUAUGGCAGCUUGCCCCGUACAUCCUCAGCCAGCCCACUUGCCAGCAGCCCCGCCUGGCUGCCAAUGGUGGCUUGCCUCGUCUGUGCCCAGUCCCUUCAUAACCAAUGAGACUACCUCCACUUUGUUUCCCCUGCAGCCAAUCAACUACCCCCACACCCUAAGAAGGGAAGCACUUCGCCUCGGCUCUUUCCCCUGACCACAGAACCUCGCCGGGAAGCUGAAUAAAUUGGCUUUUACUUUUUUACUCCGGUCUCCGUUUCCUCAUUUAACUCGGCAAUAAACCUUACAGCAAUUGUUACUAUAAUCUAGCAUAAAAGACAGAACACAUUUCAAGAAGUAACUUUAAAACUUUGAGAGUUUCUGUAAAACUCUUCCAUAUGAAUGUAAUAACAUCAUAAAUUAAAAUUUCCUAAGUACAAAUGCUGAGCCUUACCUGAUUAUGUGUCAGAAAAUAAUAUAUUCUUAGUAUGAUGUUAUCCUAGCCUCUCCCUGCCACAUACACAACUGCUAAAAUACUCCAGAUCUGCUAUGUGAACGAUAAUAGAAAAGAGUGUGUAUGUUAUCCUUUCUAAUAAGAUACCUCCUUCACUUUACAUAAAGGACUUUCUCAAGCUAUUUUCAAAUUAUUCUCAAUUUUUAAAACUCAAAUGUUUUUCCGAACACUGGACUCUCCAUGUUCGUGUUGAUCAGACAACUAGACCUUUUGAAAUGACCCGGAAACCUGAAUCUUCUAAAAGGACAAAUUACUACUUAAAAAGAGAAUACACCAUAGUUAGUACUCCAAGGUGCCCAUUGGCAAAUUCAUGGCAAAGGCAGGAACUUUGAAAUCCCUAUGUUUUCAGCUGCAAAAGACUACACCUGUUCUAUUACUGAAACAAUCAUGCUCUUCAAAAACUGGAACUAAAACGCAGCCAUUUGUCCCCAUCACCCGGUGUCAACAACAGAAAUGACCACUGUGAGCAUAAAUGUUGUUUGGAUUCAACCAUUUCUCAACAAACAGCUCUGCUGAACUCAGAGUCAGAAACAAUGGGUUCAAGUCCAGAUGAUGCCACUUCUCAGUACCUUGAGGUUUUUUUCUAGCACCGCGGUUGCCUAUUUCUGUUUUGAAAGGUCAAGCACUCCACACCAACUCAGGAAGUCCACAGAGUCUGAGAAGGGAGCAAGGAUUUCUCAUCUCGUUACUUACUUGCUAUGGACUGAAUGUUUGUGUCCCCCAGAAUUAAUAUGUUGAGGUUCUCUAAUUGUCAACAUGAUACUAUUUGGAGGUGGAGUCUUUGGGCGGUAAUUAGGUCAUGAGAACGGAGCCAAUAUGAAUGGGAUUAGUUUCCUCAUUAGAAGAAACACAAAGAAAUUCUGUCUCUCCCCCACCCCCCCAACCGCGGUCUGUACCUUGUGAAG
Molecule: non-coding RNA, 3527 nt
Organism: Callithrix jacchus (white-tufted-ear marmoset)
Lineage: Eukaryota; Metazoa; Chordata; Mammalia; Primates; Cebidae
Source: RefSeq, a predicted model, not a curated record